UGGUUAUUUUGCCAACAAAUCCUCCGACCUUGAAAGUGAAAGUAAGUCUUUCGGCAAAACACACGACUAAGAAGUAAUCAAAGGCAAUUCAAGCCAAACUUGGAGCAGUCCUCUAAUAUGCCUGCGUGCUGACUGAAGGAGUUGACUUACACCACAUCAUCUCACAAGCCAGUCUUCCUACAGAAAUCUGUUGCUGAGAUUCGUCAGACAUGGCAUUGUUGCAUACCUAUCACCCAGAAGAAAAGACAAAGCUUCUAUCUAUACCAUCCAGUGGCAAUUGUGGAGUCCACAGGGUACUCAGGCUUGGAUGCUAGAAAUAGCUGCAUCAGUACUUCCAAAACAAACCACAUAGUGUUAGGAAUGACCACAUCUUGAAUCAGAAUAUGAAUUCUACAAAAUGGACUUAACAGAAGCUAUUUAGGCUUCUUGCAAAAUGGAGUGAGUUGACAUGGAACAAAAAGACAUGGAGAUAAUUUGGAAAAGGUGGUUGUUUUCAACAGCCCCAAGUUACAAAGAUCCAAAAAAUGAUGGAAAUACCUUCACAUGUACUUGUUUGUUGACUAAUUAAGUCGUUUAUCAUAAAUCAUCCAUGGAGAAAGUGAAUUGAAUCAACAUGUUAUUGAAAUGUAAACAGCAUCCUGAAUUUCUAUUUCUAGACUUCCAGGUUCUAUAAAAGAUCUACUCGAAUUUUUUUUUUCUCCCAACUUUUGAUAAAUUGCUUGAGAAGACAAACUCAGAUGGUUGGAAGCCUCAGCUAUAGACACAGGUGAGAUUACCUGGAGACAUCUGUGGCAAAUUGGAGGGGGUAACUUCUGUGCUACUUCUGCAGAGGGCUAUCAGUGGGCGACAUCGGCCAGUAUUUCUAGCACACCCACAUUUUCUAGUGAAAUUGCCAAAUCAUUAAAUGUCAGCAGCCCAUUCCUUUUUCAAAAACAAUGUAUGUAUGUCAAAAAGCCUAGUUCAGCUUUGGGGCCGUUAGUUCAGAGCCUCUGCUUUGAAUGAGACAUUUGAUCAUGAGAGCUAGAGGGCCUUGUUCAAAAUCUGGGAUAAAAGUCUUGAAUAGAAUCAAUCUCUUACUUGUUCUGCUUAUUCAUGGCAUUCAUAAUAGAUAAAAUGUUCUAAAUCUUUUCUUUCAAAUGCUUAGAUUAUUGUUAUACUCUGCAGUUGCUUUCACUGGUAUUAUUGUGGUCCAUUAACACAAAUUUGUCUCCAAAAUUUAUUAUUUUGGAUUUUUAUCUCAUAGCCUUUUUGAGAAGCAUUUUCAUUUCAGUGGCUACAUUUAAUCUGAGAUGCAGCUUUAAAUUGCUGGUAUCCCAAUCCAAGGUUAGUUGAGACAAGUGGGAACACAAAAAAUCCCAAUAAUUUGGCAAUCCUUCAAACUAAUAUUCCACACAUAUUGGUUCAAAUGAAUUUAGACAUAGAUUCCAGUUUUCAGAUCUGACAAGUAAAGAGCUUAGAAAUCGUCAUUCCUGUCCUUAAAAUAAGAAAAAAGCUGAACAAAAUCAAUGACUGUUCUUACAUCCAUCAGAUAAUUGAGGUUGCAGGGCAAAACACCCCUCUAAAACCUGGAAAGACAAGUGAAUACAGAGAAUCAGCCAAGAUCAGCUUGAGAUAGCCUGGGACCUGGGAGCCUUUGCUGCAGUGCCUGCACCUGGACAAACGCCUCCUCCAGCAACAGAAUACAAAGAAUCUAUUCGGGACUAACAAUAACCUUGUGCAUGCUCAGUUGGGGCAAAUUAUGAACAGCAAGGUACAAAACACCAAAAACCCAACUGUCACUUCUGAGAUGCCCAGAGCAAAAGCAGGGUACUGCGCAUGCGCCCUGCACACAGCAUCACCAAGGGGGUGG
Molecule: long non-coding RNA, 1849 nt
Organism: Physeter macrocephalus (sperm whale)
Lineage: Eukaryota; Metazoa; Chordata; Mammalia; Artiodactyla; Physeteridae
Exons: 4
Source: RefSeq, a predicted model, not a curated record